This 254-nucleotide ribosomal RNA is filed under the name uncultured bacterium. RNAcentral describes it as "partial 16S ribosomal RNA". It matches the Rfam family "Bacterial small subunit ribosomal RNA", at positions 524 to 776 of the family's 1533-position model. The record is from RNAcentral.
UACGGAGGGUGCAAGCGUUAUCCGGAUUCACUGGGUUUAAAGGGUGCGUAGGUGGGCUGGUAAGUCAGUGGUGAAAUCUCCAGGCUUAACUUGGAAACUGCCAUUGAUACUAUUAGUCUUGAAUACCGUGGAGGUCAGCGGAAUAUGUCAUGUAGCGGUGAAAUGCUUAGAUAUGACAUAGAACACCAAUUGCGAAGGCAGCUGGCUACACGAAUAUUGACACUGAUGCACGAAAAGCGUGGGGAUCAAACAGG